This 84-nucleotide ribosomal RNA is filed under the name Paenibacillus faecis. Lineage: Bacteria; Bacillati; Bacillota; Bacilli; Caryophanales; Paenibacillaceae. The record is from RNAcentral.
CCCAUCCCGAACACGACCGUUAAGCCCUCCAGCGCCGAUGGUACUUGGACCGAAGGGUCCUGGGAGAGUAGGACGCCGCCAAGC